CCUACGGGUGGCUGCAGUGGGGAAUAUUGGACAAUGGGCGAAAGCCUGAUCCAGCCAUGCCGCGUGUGUGAAGAAGGCCUUCGGGUUGUAAAGCACUUUCAGUGGGGAAGAAAGCCUUGGGGCUAAUACCCUCGAGGAAGGACAUCACCCACAGAAGAAGCACCGGCUAACUCCGUGCCAGCAGCCGCGGUAAUACGGAGGGUGCGAGCGUUAAUCGGAAUUACUGGGCGUAAAGCGCGCGUAGGCGGUCUGAUAAGCCGGUUGUGAAAGCCCCGGGCUCAACCUGGGAACGGCAUCCGGAACUGUCAGGCUAGAGUGCAGGAGAGGAAGGUAGAAUUCCCGGUGUAGCGGUGAAAUGCGUAGAGAUCGGGAGGAAUGCCAGUGGCGAAGGCGGCCUUCUGGACUGACACUGACGCUGAGGUGCGAAAGCGUGGGUAGCAAACAGGAUUAGAUACCCUGGUAGUC
RNAcentral lists this ribosomal RNA (465 nucleotides) under Vreelandella stevensii. RNAcentral describes it as "partial 16S ribosomal RNA". It matches the Rfam family "Bacterial small subunit ribosomal RNA", at positions 338 to 795 of the family's 1533-position model. The record is from RNAcentral. Lineage: Bacteria; Pseudomonadati; Pseudomonadota; Gammaproteobacteria; Oceanospirillales; Halomonadaceae.